UACGUAGGGUGCAAGCGUUGUCCGGAAUUAUUGGGCGUAAAGAGCUCGUAGGCGGUUUGUCGCGUCUGCUGUGAAAACUCGGGGCUUAACCCCGGGCCUGCAGUGGGUACGGGCAGACUAGAGUGCGGUAGGGGAGACUGGAAUUCCUGGUGUAGCGGUGAAAUGCGCAGAUAUCAGGAGGAACACCGGUGGCGAAGGCGGGUCUCUGGGCCGUAACUGACGCUGAGGAGCGAAAGCGUGGGUAGCAAACAGG
RNAcentral lists this ribosomal RNA (253 nucleotides) under uncultured bacterium. Its description in RNAcentral is "partial 16S ribosomal RNA". It matches the Rfam family "Bacterial small subunit ribosomal RNA", at positions 524 to 776 of the family's 1533-position model. The record is from RNAcentral.